Molecule: unclassified non-coding RNA, 2753 nt
Filed under: Hevea brasiliensis (rubber tree)
Lineage: Eukaryota; Viridiplantae; Streptophyta; Magnoliopsida; Malpighiales; Euphorbiaceae
Source: RNAcentral
CAAAACAAAAUCUAUAGAAAUAUCAAUCCAUGGUGCCUUAGGCACGGGUAAGGGUGUAUAAAGGCCAUUCGGCAUCACCCUAGAUUUGGCCUUCUUGCAAGUUUCACAUUUGGUACAAACUCUCUCCACAGCUCUCCUCAUAUGCGGCCAAAAGAAAUGUUUCUUAAGAAUAUCUAAGAUCUUAGCUAUGCUAAAAUGUCCCAUUAACUCACCUUUAUGUGACUCAAUCACAAGCAAGUCUCUAAUUGAACUCCAAGGCACACAAUCUGUUUUCUCUAAACAAAAACCCAUCAUGCCUAUAGAAUUUAUCAAAUGCACCAUGUUCACAUGCACUAUAUACUUGGUCGAAGUCAACAUCAUUUGCAUACAAGUCUUUGAUGUGCUCAAAACCAAGUAACUUAGCAUCAAGAGUAGUAAGAAGGUUGUACCUCCUAGAUAGCGCAUCUGCUACUAUGUUCUCCUUCCCUUGCUUGUACUGAAUUACAUAAGGAAAAGAUUCCAUGAACUUCAUCCACCUUGCAUGCCUCUUGCUCAACUUGUCUUGUGCCUUGAUGUGCUUCAAUGGUUGAUGGUCCGAAUAGAUGAUAAAGUCCUUCGGCCAUAGAUAAUGUUGCCAUGUUUCCAAGGCUCACCAAGGCAUAUAGUUCUUUGUCAUAGAUGGAAUAGUUCAAAGCUGCUCCAUUUAGCUUCUCACUGAAAUAUGCCACUGGUUUUCUUUCCUACAUUAACACAGCACCAAUACCUUUCCCAGAAGCAUCACAUUCAAUCUCAAAAGCUUUGGAAAAAUCAAGUAAAACAAGUAACGAGGUAGAAUACAAUUUCUUUUUCAAUUCAUUAAAAGCAUGUUCUUGCUCUUUUCCCCAAACGAAGUUGACAUUCUUUUUUACAAGUUCAUUCAAUGGGGCAGUAAUACUACUGAAAUUUGGCACAAAUCUUCUAUAGAAACUUGCUAACCCAUGAAAACAUCUAACAUCAGAUGCAUUUUUAAGAGUAGGCCAUUCUUGAAUAGCUUUAAUUUUCUCUUCAUCAACCUCUACUCCUUUUGCAACAACAACAAAACCUAAGAAAAUAACUUUUUAUAAACGAAAAGUACACUUUUUAUAAACGAAAAGUACACUUUUUAACAUUUGCAUACAAUUUUUCUUGUCUCAAAAUAUCAAAAACAAAUUUCAAAUGAUGCAAAUGCUCAUCCAUGCUCUUACUAUAUAUAAGAAUAUCAUCAAAGUAAACAACAACAAAUUUGCCUAUGAAAGCUCUUAGAACAUGAUUCAUUAAUCUUAUAAAGGUACUAGGGGCAUUAGUAAACCAUGUUUUGUUUUGAAAGUGCUACCAUGCAACUCAUCCAACAUAUCAUCUAACCUAGGAAUAGGGUGACGAUAUUUUAUCGUUAUUUUGUUGAUUGCACGGCAGUCCACACACAUUCGGUAUGGACCAUCUUUCUUUUGCACCAAUAAUACAGGAACAGCACAUGGGCUCAUGCUUUCCCUCAUGUGCCAUUUUGCCAAGAGUUCCUCUACUUGCCUUGGCAAUUCCAUGGUCUCCUCGGGGUUGCUCCUAUAUGCUAGUCUAUUUAGAAUGUUGCACCCGGGAUGAAAUCAAUUUGAUGUUCAAUUCCUCGAAUUGGUGGUAGACCAGGUGGUAUCUCAUCAGUGAACACAUCUUCAUACUCCUGCAAAAGAGAAACAGCAGCACUAGGAAGAGAAGGCUCAAGUUCAGCCAAGGUUAGUAAAUUCUCAUGAUACAUCAAUAAAAAUAAAGGUCUCCCUAAUUACAAAAACUCUCUUACUUCUCUCCCCCUUACAUACAAGUUCAAUUUUCUUUCUUUGCUCUCCUUUUGCCCCGAACCUUUUCCCUUCUUCUUGGAAACUUUCUUCUCAAUUUUUCUCUCAUUUUCACUCUUCUUUUUCUCUCCACUAGAUUCGGCCUCCCUUUGUUUUUCACUCACCCCCUCUUUUGCUUCAUUUAGUGACCUCUAGAUAUUGAUUUGAUCUUGAUGAAUUCGAAAUGGGGUCAAUGGUAACAAGGUGAUCUUUCGGCCAUCCUUAACAAAAGUGAUUUUGUUGUUUUGGCCUUCAUGUGUUUCAUCCAUUUAGUGACCUCUAGCACCUUUCCUUCUUCUUUUAGCUUGUACCUGAUCCCACCACACAAUGGCAUAUUCCUUAAACUCCACAGCGGCUAAUUUCACCUUCUUUUCUUCUGUAUAGUUAUGGCAAUCAAAGAUUAAGUCCACUUGCCUCUCCCAUUCAAGGUAAACAUCAUGAUCAUUUUUGCCAUAGAAGGCUGAAAUCUUCAUUUUUAUGCUCACCACAUUGUUAUCUUGUCUCUCAUGGUCAAUUCUUCCCCUUUGGUAAGCAUUCAGCCUAGCCUCCCACUCAUCAUCCCUUUGCAUUCUUCCUCCUCCUCUUCUUGCUCUCAUGCCUCUCCCCCUAAGUGGCCUAUAUCCUCUACCUCCUUGCUGACAGGUUCGGUCAUGAUGCUCAAAUUCAUCCCAUUCCUCCUCAUCUGGAUCAUAUUGCCAAUCUGGUUCAUAAGGUUCUUCUCUCUCAUUUUCUCUCCUACCUCUCCCAUUUCCGCCCAAAUUUAACCUUUCUACACCUCCCUCAUUGCCCCUUUCAUUUCUGCCACUAUCCACAUUUUCCUUUCUAACUUCAGCCCUAAGCCCUUCUAUUGAAUCUUGCAAAGCAUUCAAUACUUGUACAAUUCUGUCAAAUCUUUAAGCUACAGCCCUCCUAUAUAUGGUUUCACUCCUAUUU